Molecule: non-coding RNA, 99 nt
Organism: Callorhinus ursinus (northern fur seal)
Lineage: Eukaryota; Metazoa; Chordata; Mammalia; Carnivora; Otariidae
Source: RefSeq, a predicted model, not a curated record
CUGGAAGGUACUGCAAUAAUUCCAGUUCCACUCUCCCUUUCUUGGGGAUUGCCUACUGAGGGUCUCAAGCCAUCAGUGAGCCCCCUCUCCUUCUCCCAA